Molecule: ribosomal RNA, 420 nt
Filed under: uncultured Alphaproteobacteria bacterium
Lineage: Bacteria; Pseudomonadati; Pseudomonadota; Alphaproteobacteria
Description: bacterial SSU rRNA
Rfam family: Bacterial small subunit ribosomal RNA
Source: RNAcentral
AGAGUUUGAUCCUGGCUCAGAACGAACGCUGGCGGCAUGCCUAACACAUGCAAGUCGAACGAGACCUUCGGGUCUAGUGGCGCACGGGUGCGUAACGCGUGGGAAUCUGCCCUUAGGUUCGGAAUAACAGUUAGAAAUGACUGCUAAUACCGGAUAAUGUCUUCGGACCAAAGAUUUAUUGCCUAAGGAUGAGCCCGCGUAAGAUUAGCUUGUUGGUGAGGUAAAGGCUCACCAAGGCGACGAUCUUUAGCUGGUCUGAGAGGAUGAUCAGCCACACUGGGACUGAGACACGGCCCAGACUCCUACGGGAGGCAGCAGUGGGGAAUAUUGGACAAUGGGCGAAAGCCUGAUCCAGCAAUGCCGCGUGAGUGAUGAAGGCCUUAGGGUUGUAAAGCUCUUUUACCCGGGAUGAUAAUGACA